RNAcentral lists this transfer RNA (73 nucleotides) under Mertensiella caucasica. RNAcentral's name for it is "tRNA-Asn". It matches the Rfam family "tRNA". Rfam says of the family: Transfer RNA (tRNA) molecules are approximately 80 nucleotides in length. Their secondary structure includes four short double-helical elements and three loops (D, anti-codon, and T loops). Further hydrogen bonds mediate the characteristic L-shaped molecular structure. tRNAs have two regions of fundamental functional importance: the anti-codon, which is responsible for specific mRNA codon recognition, and the 3' end, to which the tRNAs corresponding amino acid is attached (by aminoacyl-tRNA synthetases). tRNAs cope with the degeneracy of the genetic code in two manners: having more than one tRNA (with a specific anti-codon) for a particular amino acid; and 'wobble' base-pairing, i.e. permitting non-standard base-pairing at the 3rd anti-codon position. The record is from RNAcentral. Lineage: Eukaryota; Metazoa; Chordata; Amphibia; Caudata; Salamandridae.
UAGAUUAAAGCUCGCUGGAUAGAGCGUUUAGCUGUUAACUAAAAGAUCGCAGGGUUGGAGCCUGCUAGUCUAG